CGCCAGGUCAGACAUGCUGAAUCUUUCCUGGAGCCCACAGAAAAGAGACUUUGGAGGUUUUUAUAUCAGACAUUGAACUUUUAAAGCAAUGGGAUUUUCAAGGAACUCAUGAAGAUAUGGUACUCACACAGGGUCUACCACCAUGCCCUGGCAUCUUUAAAUCACUAUUAGCCUCUUUUGACACAGAAGCACUAACAGGAGGAGUGGUUCUCGGGUCCUAAUUCUCCCUGGGUCCCAGCUGAAUGGAAGAAUGAGUAGGAAUGUGAUACCCUGUUGGGUACCUGGGGAUGACUCUGACAUAAAGACCUCUCUGAUUCCCACUAUGAUUUUAUGAAGACUCUUUCCUGAUAGGCCUUUGAGGAAGUGCAAGUUUUUUCGUGAAAGUAGAAACACAUCAAGUGAAUCAAGGACUG
Molecule: non-coding RNA, 413 nt
Organism: Myodes glareolus (Bank vole)
Lineage: Eukaryota; Metazoa; Chordata; Mammalia; Rodentia; Cricetidae
Source: RefSeq, a predicted model, not a curated record